This 8240-nucleotide long non-coding RNA is filed under the name Ananas comosus (pineapple). Its description in RNAcentral is "long non-coding RNA (ACOM_LNC038286)". Lineage: Eukaryota; Viridiplantae; Streptophyta; Magnoliopsida; Poales; Bromeliaceae. The record is from RNAcentral.
CUAAUAUAUUUAGGAUUUUAAUUUUAAUUAAUAUCUAAAUCUAUCUUAAUUAAUCUCUAAUAUAUUUAAAUAUUAAUCCUAAUCUAAUCAGAUUUAUCCUCUAAUUAAUAUUUAAAUCUUAAUUUAUCUCUAACAGAUUUAAAUAUUAAUUCUUAUCCAACUAGGAUUCAACUACAAAUCUAACCAAAUCCUAACAAUCUCCACCUUGGUUGGAUUUGUAAUCUUCAACCGCUACGUCAAGCUCACCAUGCAAGCUCCACCUUAAGCUUGUCUCCUCCGCUCGAUGUCGCCGCAUUCGUCGCUCCGCCUCGAGCGACUGCACCUCCACGAACUUUUGGAACCCAAAUCAUCUUCGCUCCCAUUCUGACUGUGCUCCCGUUCAGAACAUAUAAGUUCCCACGCUUGUUCGCCUCGCACACGACCCGAUCUCGCUUUCGGACUCUCAUAGCUCCAACUGAAGCCGAAUAUUGCAACCCUUCGAGUCCAACGAGCCUAACGAGAUCAAAUUUCGUCUCAAUUCAGGAACGUGUCGCACACCUGUCAGCGUCCUCACGACCCCAUCGUGCAUUCGGAUCUUCACCGUACCGAAUCCGAAAACUUUGCACACCGUCUCGUUUCCCAUUAGAGCCUUUCCACCCUUGAUCGCCUUAUAGGUGGCAAAAGACUUCUUCUGCGGGCAUACGUGAAAAGAACACGCUGAAUCGAGCACCCACGCGUCAUUCAAAAUUUUAGCACCUCCGGUCACCGCAUAUAGGACAUCAGAAUCCAUCAUCUCCAAUUCUUUCGCCUGCGCCAUCGCUGAUACUGUCUGGUCCUGGUUCACGAUAGUUUUCUCUUUCUGUCGCUUCAACUCCUUCAGAUCAUUCUGAAGUUUCUGAUAGUUGCGCUUGAUAUGCCCUUUCCUGUGGCAGUAAAAGCACUCCACCUCGGAUAGUGUCUUCUUCUGUCGAUCUCCAGUCGCUGAUGUUGUCGCCUGCUUCUUCGUUCAGACCACCAAAGCAGUAUCCUAUCUCUGCGUGCCGGACUCCUGAGUCAUCUUCCGCAUCUCGUUCGAGAGAAGCGUCGCCGUGACCGCCUCCACGCUUAUGUCUCCUUGCUAUAAAGCAACGUAGUCACCAGAUGCUCAUAUGUCAUCGAUAGCGAAGAUAAUAAAAUCAGUGCCUUGUCUUCAUCAUUCAGAUUGACUCCGAUGCUAGUCAACUGGGCCACCACCUUGUUAAACUCGUUAAGAUGCUCGUGUAGGCUCGCCGUUUCUUGCAUCCGCAGCGUAAACAGUCGCUACUUCAGAUACAAUCUGUUCGUCAGGGAUUUGGUCAUGUACAGAUCUUUUAAUUUCUUCUACAAUUUCACCGAUGUCGUCUCGCCGGCUACAUUGUAAAGAACCUCAUAUGCUCCAUCUUGUAAAGAACCUCAUCCGGCUACAUUGUAAAGAACCUUAUUGAUAGAUGAAGCGUACUCAGCGCCUUCCGCUCCAUCUUUGUUCAUGCCGCAUCCGUGACCUCCGCCGGCUUCGCCUCCUUCCCGUUCAACGUCUCAUCUAAUUCUUGUUGUACGAGGAUCGCCCGUACUUUGAUUUGCCAUAAUCCGAAAUUGUUCUUGCCGUCGAACUUCUCGAUUUCGAAUUUCGUGGCCAUCUUCGUUGAUCUCUCCCUCAGAUUGGUAACCUUCGGCUCUGAUACCAAUUGUUGGGAAUCCGGUACUCGCUCCGAUACCGGAUCUUGUGAAUCCGCAACAGAUUGUUGGGAUUCCGUAACGGAAGCAUCGAAUCGGAUUUUUACCAUAAACCCGUCUACUCAGCAGAAGCUGAUACAAUCAUAAAAGAAAAAAAUAUACAGAUAAAAUAAGAUUCAUUAAAUAAGAGAAGAUUACAGUUGACUCCUCUUCUGCAACUGAGUAGCUACAACCCGAGCCCUCUUCCUGAAUCUUUUCUACCAUUCUCUCGUCUUUUAUAAACCUAAAAGACAAUCCAUCUACGUGCACCUGUGCACUAGGUGCACUAAAUAACUCUCUCUCUCUUUUUCUCUCUCUGGUACAGCACCCAAGCUUCAGCCCUACUCCCCAACUCCAAAAGAGCCUCUAAUGCAUUAUAUAAUGCUCAAACAAGAAUGUACCCGAUCCUAGUAUAUUUAGGAUUUCAACUUUAAUUAAUAUCUAAAUCUAUCUUAAUUAAUCUCUAAUAGAUUUAAAUAUUAAUCCUAAUCUAAUCAUGUUUAUCCUCUAAUUAAUAUUUAAAUCUUAAUUUAUCUCUAACAGAUUUAAAUAUUAAUUCUUAUCCAACUAGGAUUCAACUACAAAUCUAACCAAAUCCUAACACCAUCUCCUCUAUUAAUGGGAAAGAGGAACAUUUUCCUUGGAGGGAUGUCUAAUUAAUUUUGAUUAAAAACUGUAUAGUAUUUGGCUGAAUUAAAUAAAAAAAUAAUUUUUUAAAAAAUAAUCUUGUAAAGUUAUUUGCCAAAGUUUUUUUUUUCUCGUUGUAAAUAAUAAAUUUUUUGCUAAAUUUUAUAAUUUUAAAAAUUAAAAAUUAAAAAUUAAAAUUUAAAAUUUAAAAUUUAAAUUUAAAUUUUUAACCGAUACUUGAUUUUGCAUAUCAAUACUAAAUAAGAAUUUAAAGUUAUAAUUUUGAAUUCAAAAUCUAAAUUCAAAAUUUUAAAUUUUUAAAAAUUUUAGAAUAUCAAAUUUAUAAUUUUAAAUAUAAAUUUAAAUAUAAAAUUUAUAAUUUUAAAAUUUAAAAUAUAAAUUUAUAUUUAAAAUUAGAAUCUGAUUUUAAGAAGUAGGUUUUAGCUAAUUCUAAUUUUGAAGUCUCUAAAAUCAAAAAAAUAAAUCAGAAUCCACAAAAAAGAAUACCAAAUAUUUUUUUAAAAAAAAAACCAUAACUUUCGCCCCGACAAGAGGAAAAAUUCUAGAAUGCAACAGGUAUAUUGGUGACGUGGCGUAACAAACCAAUCAAAAAUCUCCUUUUAAAGAUAUAUGUCCCAUCAUGAUUAUAAAAAAAUAUUUUUAUUGUAUUUUUGUUUGAAAAAAAAAAUAUAAUUGGCUUGUUAUUAAUGAUGUGGUGUAAGUGUGAGAGUGUAAAAUUCCUCCUGAGAGAGAGAGAGAGAGAGAGAGAGAGAGAAGAAAAAUCAUUCCUCCGACGAGAGAGAGAGAGAGAGAGAGAGAAAAAAGAAAAACCAUGAAAGAUCCGUGGAAAAUGAGAUAGGCGGGGAAAACUAUACAUGGCUAGUGACAUUCUCCGAACCCCUACUCAAUCAUCUAUCUAUCUUCUAUAUAAGAAUACAUGAAUUGUGAACCGGAAUGAUGCCAGCACACAUCCUAUUCUUUGGAUGAGUGAGCCAGCACACAUUCCUAUUCUUUGUUUUUUUUCUACCCACUUUUUGUUUUCUUUUAUCCCAUCUCUAUCCCAUCAUUUCAACCCACUGUUACUUCCUCGCUGUUUAUCCGAUCCUUCAUCUGUCACCCAUACCAUGGUACGUUCUCCCCCUUCCUCUAUGGUUCUAUCUCACUCACCCUCACUCUUUUCCCCUCUCUCAUUCAAUAAUUAAAAUAAAAUUAAAAUACAAAAUUAAAGUUAAAUUUUAAAUAAAAAUAUAAAAUAUCAUUGAGAUAUUUUUAUAAAGUGCAUUAUUUUUAUCUAGAUUCAUGCCUUUAAUCCAACUUCCUAGGUCACCUGAAAAUUGGAAUUGGCAAGUGACUCCCACGUACCAAAAAACUAACAAACGAAUUCAUUCAUUCUGGUGCUAAUCAUGAAUAAAAAUGGGGCCAAGUAAAUAUGGCUUUAAUUUAUUUAUGAGCUCUUUUUAAGGGGACAAAAAUUUCGUGGACAUCCGUGCCCAAACUAUUUGUUUGGGCACGGAUACGGAUGGGCGCCGCGUGGUGUGCGGCGCCCAUCACCACCUCCCCUUCCCCUUUCUCUCUCUCUUUCUAAAAAACGGAGGCCCCCGGAAUUUUUUUUUUUUUUUUUUUGAAAANACAACAGAACAUACACCAGUUAUGGAGUACAUAAAUAUCCGGUAGUCCCUCUAUAAUUAGGAUUAGUAUAAGAUUGAUUUAGAGUGUAUCUAUCUCUAAAUUUAUCUAAUCUUAAAUAAACAAUCUAAAUAAAGAAUAGGGUUCAUCUGAUCCUUAUAUUGUCUAUUAAUAUUUAUAAAUAAAGAAUAGGGUAUACCUAAUCUUUAUAAAAUCUAUUCAGGGUUACACCUGCUUAGGAUUGUGAAGGGUAUAAUCCAAGUACCACCCUUUGUAUAACGAGAUAGUAGCAACCUUUGUAUGGUUUCUAAAGAAUUCCUUUCUUUUUUUUUUUUUUUCUCAAUUUCUUUUGAAGUUUUUUCUACAGUCCAAAGCUUUAGAUUAUUUACUGUUUAAAACUUUGGAUGCGUUUACGUUCCUUACAAUCGCCAAACGCAAGACUCCUUGAUCCUUCGAUCAAAACCUUGGGCGUUACACCGAGAUCAGUAACUCGUCCCCUCCUAAGUUAACUCCCAGCAAACCCAAGACGUCUUGGUCCCCCGAUCAAGGUAUUGGACCGACCUAAAGUAUUAUGUUUGAUCCGCAAUUCUUUGGAUUUUACAAAUAAACGAUCGAUCUCUUAACCCAACUUUACUAAACAAAGAUUCCUGGACUUUCCUGUUAUCCAACGUAGUCCAACACGUACUAAACUUAACCCAAUUUGACCCUAAAACUAAACUAAACCCAGACUUCAAUCCAAACCCGUAACUAAACCAAUUAUACCAAAUCCAAAGGGUAUUUGAACCCGGUUAGGUCUAAUUUAUUAACCCAGUCCAAAUAUAAACCAGAAACUGUACUUGAACCCGGGUAGGCUUCUAUAUUAACCGAACCCAAGUCUAAAUCUAAAAAAAACAGGUUUGAACCCGGGUAUAUUGAGUCCAAACCCAACCCGAAUCCACACCCCAAAUCAUACUCGAGAGUAUCAAAUUUUCAUUCUAUAUCUAACCGAUAACCUAUAUCCGAACCCAGCUUUAGUCCGGGUAUAUCAAACCCAAAUCUUAGUUCGCACCCAAUCUGAAUUUGAUAUAAACCCGAGCCCGAGUUACACCCGAUCUUAUCAACUUGAAUUCCAAGUUUAACUGACACCUAGACUCGAACCCGUUCUAAAGCCGGGUACAUCAAACCUAAAUCGAAACCUAUACCCACGUCCGAGCCAAAUCCGGGUAUACCACAUCGAUUACGAAACUUUACACAAGUGUACCGAUUUCAAAUCUGAAUAUAAUAUUUCAGUCUGAAAAAAACUACGUAGUUAAAUCCAAACCCAAGUAUUCCAAUUCUAAUCCGGACAGGCCUUAACUAUAAAGCUAGAUACUUGUAAGUUAGAACUCUAAAUUUAACUUCUGAAGUUUAAAUACAAAACUACAGAAGAUUUGUAUUUAAAGUUUUAUUAUUAUUAUUAAAAGUUGAGAAUUAAAAUUAAUUAUUCAGAUAUAUGUGGAAAAAUUUCUUCAAGUUUUAUUAAAGUUUAAACCUCUAGUCCUUUUAAAACACUUCGUCGUAACCUCAAACUUCGGUUGCCUCAAAGUUUCAACUGCGUUGCCUUGUUUCUGUACUAUCCCCCCCCCCCUGUGUGAUCGAAACAGUCGUUUCCAUCGCUGACGCAAAAGAGAUAAGUAGCAUUAUUUGAACGUACAUUAAUUAAAUGUACGAGUGGCACCUCUACGUGAAUAAUCUCAUAGGAGAGAUAACUAGUGUUAAUUUAUCUUACUUACUUGAAUGUGCCUUACUCACACCUAUAUCGAAUAUACUUCCACUGUAAGCGGAGGGGUAACAUUCGUAAUCUAUGGUGAAUCUUUAUAUUGAUAAGAUGAAGAGACAACUACGACUACUAUAUAAACUCUUACCAACUGUAAAAAACGAAGGCGGUUAUCGAUUCACGUCCGCCUAUUUUGAGACGGUAACAACAGCUACAUACUUAUCCACCUUUGGCAAGAAGAGAAGGCGGCUGCCGAUUCGCGGUUCGCCUUCUAGCUACCGAAGUGUGACGGCACUAACCGUUACGCAGCAGCGAAAGCGGCUGCCGGUUCGUGACUACCUAGUUUGAGACGGUAACAACAACUACAUACCUACCCACCUCUGGCAAGAAGAGAAAGCGGCUGCCGAUUCGCGGUUCGUCUUCUAGUAGCCGAAGGUAAAAGAGGCAGCACUCACGGCUACGCGGCAAUGAAGGCGGCUGCCGAUUCGUGGCUGCCUAUUUUGAGGCGGUAACAACAGCUACAUACCUACCUACCUCUAGCAAGAAGAGAAAGCGGCUACCGAUUCGCGGUUUGCCUUCUAGUAGCCAAAGCGUAGAGGAGGCAGCACUAACGGCUACGCGACAAUGAAAACGGCUGCCGAUUCGCAACUACCUAUUUCGAGGCGGUAAUAACAACUACAUACCUACCUAUCUCCGGCAAGAAGUGAAGGCGGCUACCGAUUUGCGGUUCGCCUUCUAGUAGCUGAAGAUAGAGGAGGCAGCACCAACGACUACGCGGCAAUUAACUACAUCUAUUCUCUCCUAGAUUCAUCCCCUUCUUUUUUUAAUAUUAAGUAUAAAAAAUUACUUUAAAAAUGGACAAAACUUGUUUGAAAAGAGAGAGAAAGAAAACAAAAAGAAAAAAAAGAAAAAAAAAAAAAGAGGUUGUCAGAGAUUUUUAAGAGGGGAAAAAUAGUGCAGAAAGGGAAAUUUAUCUAAAAGAAUAAUCACCUGUACACCUUUCGAAAAAAAAAAAAAAAAACAUACACCAUCCACUCACCCACUUUUGUAGUGGAAAGGAGAUUUUUCUAUAAAAUUUUUAUUAUUAUUAUUAUUAUUUAUUUAUUUUAUUUUAUUUAUUUUAUAUCCAGGAUACAUCCCUCUAUACUAUACCGAUCACACCGGGUAUAAGAAAAUUUUUCUUCUAUCCCAUCCUAGAGUUGAUUGAAGAAAGAAAAAAAGAAAAAAGAAAAAAAACUUAACACGGGGGUAAAGAGAACUUACAUUCUCUCUCUUUCUCUUUUUUUUUUAUAAUAGCCUCGGGUGUAGAGAAAUUCUAGUUAUACCUUUAUAUAAACCGGACUCAAAUUCAAACCCGAAUCCGAGCCUUAACCUGAACUUACUUAACUUAAAUUAGGUCGAUGUAAAAUUAAGUUUUAAAAUUUCAGUUAUACAAAGAGGAAAAAAAAAUAAUGUGAGUUUGUUCCGGUAUUGAGUCACGUAGUAUAGGAAUUAACAGUGUGGGUUAUUAAAGUAUAGCCUAUCUUUAUCUCUACACUAAACCAUAUAUUCUCUGAAUCUGUUAUCAUUAUUAUUGACACGAAUUUAUAAAACGUGGCCACCAACCCGGGUUAUUAAAUAACAACAAUCAGCCAACUUAGCAAUAUAAACCAUAGGCUCGGUUAAUGGUCAGCCUUCACACACCAUGGAGAGCCGACUCGGUCCCGGACUUUCUGUUCCACUAUCCGAUACGGCCUCAGACAUACUGUUACAUUGGCCGAUACGGUCCCGGAUCUACUAUUCCGAUCGCUCUGCUCAGAAUGUAGCGGAUCACUAAAACCCGGCAUACACACUAACCUGUCUGCUCCUGCAGUCCCGGAAUUGCCCCCCUCAGACAGUGUAGGAUUAUUAAGGUAUAGCCUAUCUUUACUACUACACUAACCUAUAUAUUCUCUGAAUUUGUGAUCAUUAUUAUUGAUCCGAAUUCGUAAAACCCGGCCACUAACCUGGGUUGCUUAAUAAUAACGAUUAUCUGACUUAGUAAUGUAGUUAAGGGAUAAGUCAUAUGUAGUAUGUGUGCACGGGUGCAGGUGGUAGGUUCCUCUUGGUGUUAGACAACAAAUAAAUAGUUCUAUUAGUGUUAUUAUACAGUUGUGUAGGUUGGUUUACACCGAGUAUGAGAAUCCAUAGCAAACCAAGCCCCUAUUCGUUUUUCACCCAUAAGAUCCGGCCUAUCCAUAUUUAACUCUAUAUUCGCCCCUAAUCUAGUUAAAACGCAAACCUACUUUUAACCCAAUAAAGACCUUUAUUCUUUUUAUUGCAAAUCAAUCUAUUCUACUUUAUUCUUAAUUUCACCUAUCAAUAUUUAUUUUUUAUUGUUACAAUAGGGAAAGAAAUAUAAUCUUAAUCUUAAAAAUAUAAAAUAUAAAUAUAAAAUUUUAAAUUUUAAAAUUGAAAAUUUAAAGUUUAAAACUUUAAUUUUAAAUUUAAAUUUUAGAGUUUAAAAUUUAAGUUUUAAAUUUUAAAAUUUAAAGUUUGAAAUUUAAAUUCUAGUUUAAAUUUA